GGACGCUUCCGGGGGUUUCGGCCUCUGGGGGAGUGGCGGACGGGUGAGUAGCGCGUGGGAACCUGCCUUGGAGUGGGGAAUAACCUAGGGAAACCUGGGCUAAUACCGCAUAACGUCUUCGGACCAAAGGAGUAAUUCGCUGGAAGAGGGGGUCGCGGCCGAUUAGCUAGUUGGUGGGGUAACGGCCCACCAAGGCAAUGAUCGGUAGCCGGCCUGAGAGGGCGCACGGCCACACUGGAACUGAAACACGGUCCAGACUCCUACGGGAGGCAGCAGUGGGGAAUUUUGCGCAAUGGGGGAAACCCUGACGCAGCAACGCCGCGUGGAGGAUGAAGCCCCUUGGGGUGUAAACUCCUUUCGAUCGGGACGAUAAUGACGGUACCGGAUGAAGAAGCACCGGCUAACUCUGUG
RNAcentral lists this ribosomal RNA (411 nucleotides) under uncultured bacterium. Its description in RNAcentral is "bacterial SSU rRNA". It matches the Rfam family "Bacterial small subunit ribosomal RNA", at positions 64 to 507 of the family's 1533-position model. The record is from RNAcentral.